This 484-nucleotide ribosomal RNA is filed under the name uncultured bacterium. RNAcentral's name for it is "partial 16S ribosomal RNA". It matches the Rfam family "Bacterial small subunit ribosomal RNA", at positions 29 to 507 of the family's 1533-position model. The record is from RNAcentral.
AUUGAACGCUGGCGGCAUGCUUUACACAUGCAAGUCGAACGGCAGCGCGGGCUUCGGCCUGGCGGCGAGUGGCGAACGGGUGAGUAAUGCAUCGGAACGUGCCCAGUAGUGGGGGAUAGCCCGGCGAAAGCCGGAUUAAUACCGCAUACGACCUGAGGGUGAAAGCGGGGGACCGAAAGGCCUCGCGCUAUUGGAGCGACCGAUGUCGGAUUAGCUAGUUGGUGGGGUAAAGGCUUACCAAGGCGACGAUCCGUAGCUGGUCUGAGAGGACGACCAGCCACACUGGGACUGAGACACGGCCCAGACUCCUACGGGAGGCAGCAGUGGGGAAUUUUGGACAAUGGGGGCAACCCUGAUCCAGCCAUGCCGCGUGCGGGAAGAAGGCCUUCGGGUUGUAAACCGCUUUUGUUCGGGAAGAAAUCCUCUGGGCUAAUACCCCGGGGGGAUGACGGUACCGGAAGAAUAAGCACCGGCUAACUACGUG